RNAcentral lists this ribosomal RNA (538 nucleotides) under Triticum aestivum (bread wheat). RNAcentral's name for it is "partial small subunit ribosomal RNA". The record is from RNAcentral. Lineage: Eukaryota; Viridiplantae; Streptophyta; Magnoliopsida; Poales; Poaceae.
GGUCUUGUCUGGCUAACUCGCAGGUAGUUGUCUUAGUGGGGGUGCACCGGUCGACAGGGGUCGAGCGGGGGUGCGGGCGAGCGGGCGAGCGGGGUCGGGGAGGGUGUGACGGAAGAAGAAGAAGACGUGCGGUCUUCCUCCCUGUAGGUUGUCUUAGCGGGGGUCGGGAAGAAGGAGGAGGAUGUGUCAGCAGUACCCUCGGGGUUUCAUCUUCUUCCUCGACGAAGUUUUUUCUUCUAGAUUCCCGUCCCACCAGUUUCGGUAUGGUUCGUCGUCGUAGUUCAUCAACGUCCAUGUCCAAUACGCUACUAGUACUGUGCUCUCGCUACGAACGAACGCAACUCAAGAAGAAGACGAAGAAGCUAGUCCCCUAUCCAAGGUCCAGCCGUCGGACCCGAUCGUCCCACCUACAGCAAACUCAAAGACAAACACAAAGUAGACAUCAGCCUACUACGAGAUUACAUAAUACUACAACAUAGGCACACCGUAACAUACGGAGAACAUACAUAGGGGUAUAUAAUACAUUACAACUACAUUG